GAACAUGUUAGACGAAUCAUCUGGAAAGAUGAAUCAAAGAAGGUAAUAAUCCUGUAGUCGAAAACAUAUUCUCUCUUGAGUGGAUCCUGAGUACGACGGAGCACGUGAAAUUCCGUCGGAAUCUGGGAGGACCAUCUCCUAAGGCUAAAUACUCUCUAGUGACCGAUAGUGAACCAGUACCGUGAGGGAAAGGUGAAAAGUACCCCGGAAGGGGAGUGAAAGAGAACUUGAAACCGUGUGCUUACAAGUAGUCAGAGCCCGUUAAUGGGUGAUGGCGUGCCUUUUGUAGAAUGAACCGGCGAGUUACGAUCUGAUGCAAGGUUAAGCAGCAAAUGUGGAGCCGCAGCGAAAGCGAGUCUGAAUAGGGCGUUGAGUAUUUGGUCGUAGACCCGAAACCAGGUGAUCUACCCUUGGUCAGGUUGAAGUUCAGGUAACACUGAAUGGAGGACCGAACCGACUUACGUUGAAAAGUGAGCGGAUGAACUGAGGGUAGCGGAGAAAUUCCAAUCGAACUUGGAGAUAGCUGGUUCUCUCCGAAAUAGCUUUAGGGCUAGCCUCAAGUGAUGAUUAUUGGAGGUAGAGCACUGUUUGGACGAGGGGCCCCUCUCGGGUUACCGAAUUCAGAUAAACUCCGAAUGCCAAUUAAUUUAACUUGGGAGUCAGAACAUGGGUGAUAAGGUCCGUGUUCGAAAGGGAAACAGCCCAGACCACCAGCUAAGGUCCCAAAAUAUAUGUUAAGUGGAAAAGGAUGUGGCGUUGCCCAGACAACUAGGAUGUUGGCUUAGAAGCAGCCAUCAUUUAAAGAGUGCGUAAUAGCUCACUAGUCGAGUGACACUGCGCCGAAAAUGUACCGGGGCUAAACAUAUUACCGAAGCUGUGGAUUGUCCUUUGGACAAUGGUAGGAGAGCGUUCUAAGGGCGUCGAAGCAUGAUCGCAAGGACAUGUGGAGCGCUUAGAAGUGAGAAUGCCGGUGUGAGUAGCGAAAGACGGGUGAGAAUCCCGUCCACCGAUUGACUAAGGUUUCCAGAGGAAGGCUCGUCCGCUCUGGGUUAGUCGGGUCCUAAGCUGAGGCCGACAGGCGUAGGCGAUGGAUAACAGGUUGAUAUUCCUGUACCACCUAGUAUCGUUUUAAUCGAUGGGGGGACGCAGUAGGAUAGGCGAAGCGUGCUGUUGGAGUGCACGUCCAAGCAGUAAGGCUGAGUGUUAGGCAAAUCCGGCACUCAUAAGGCUGAGCUGUGAUGGGGAGAGGAAAUUGUUUCCUCGAGUCGUUGAUUUCACACUGCCGAGAAAAGCCUCUAGAUAGAUAACAGGUGCCCGUACCGCAAACCGACACAGGUAGUCAAGAUGAGGAUUNNNNNNNNNNNNNNNNNNNNNNNNNNNNNNNNNNNNNNNNNNNNNNNNNNNNNNNNNNNNNNNNNNNNNNNNNNNNNNNNNNNNNNNNNNNNNNGGAUUCUAAGGUGAGCGAGCGAACUCUCGUUAAGGAACUCGGCAAAAUGACCCCGUAACUUCGGGAGAAGGGGUGCUCUUUAGGGUUCACGCCCAGAAGAGCCGCAGUGAAUAGGCCCAAGCGACUGUUUAUCAAAAACACAGGUCUCUGCUAAACCGUAAGGUGAUGUAUAGGGGCUGACGCCUGCCCGGUGCUGGAAGGUUAAGAGGAGUGGUUAGCUUCUGCGAAGCUACGAAUCGAAGCCCCAGUAAACGGCGGCCGUAACUAUAACGGUCCUAAGGUAGCGAAAUUCCUUGUCGGGUAAGUUCCGACCCGCACGAAAGGCGUAACGAUUUGGGCACUGUCUCAACGAGAGACUCGGUGAAAUCAUAGUACCUGUGAAGAUGCAGGUUACCCGCGACAGGACGGAAAGACCCCGUGGAGCUUUACUGUAGCCUGAUAUUGAAAUUCGGCACAGCUUGUACAGGAUAGGUAGGAGCCUUUGAAACGUGAGCGCUAGCUUACGUGGAGGCGUUGGUGGGAUACUACCCUAGCUGUGUUGGCUUUCUAACCCGCACCACUUAUCGUGGUGGGAGACAGUGUCAGGCGGGCAGUUUGACUGGGGCGGUCGCCUCCUAAAAGGUAACGGAGGCGCUCAAAGGUUCCCUCAGAAUGGUUGGAAAUCAUUCAUAGAGUGUAAAGGCAUAAGGGAGCUUGACUGCGAGACCUACAAGUCGAGCAGGGUCGAAAGACGGACUUAGUGAUCCGGUGGUUCCGCAUGGAAGGGCCAUCGCUCAACGGAUAAAAGCUACCCCGGGGAUAACAGGCUUAUCUCCCCCAAGAGUUCACAUCGACGGGGAGGUUUGGCACCUCGAUGUCGGCUCAUCGCAUCCUGGGGCUGUAGUCGGUCCCAAGGGUUGGGCUGUUCGCCCAUUAAAGCGGUACGCGAGCUGGGUUCAGAACGUCGUGAGACAGUUCGGUCCCUAUCCGUCGUGGGCGUAGGAAAUUUGAGAGGAGCUGUCCUUAGUACGAGAGGACCGGGAUGGACAUACCUCUGGUGUACCAGUUGUCGUGCCAACGGCAUAGCUGGGUAGCUAUGUAUGGACGGGAUAAGUGCUGAAAGCAUCUAAGCAUGAAGCCCCCCUCAAGAUGAGAUUUC
Molecule: ribosomal RNA, 2585 nt
Filed under: Staphylococcus epidermidis
Lineage: Bacteria; Bacillati; Bacillota; Bacilli; Caryophanales; Staphylococcaceae
Description: partial 23S ribosomal RNA
Rfam family: Bacterial large subunit ribosomal RNA
Source: RNAcentral